Molecule: ribosomal RNA, 171 nt
Filed under: Chaetobranchopsis sp. LEEM
Lineage: Eukaryota; Metazoa; Chordata; Actinopteri; Cichliformes; Cichlidae
Description: partial small subunit ribosomal RNA
Source: RNAcentral
ACCGCGGUUAUACGAGAGACCCAAGUUGACAGACACCGGCGUAAAGGGUGGUUAGAGACCCACACUACACUAAAGCCAAAUGUCUUCAGAAUUGUUAUAUAUCCACGAAGAUAAGAAGUUCAAUUACGAAAGUGGCUUUAUCAUUCUCGACCCCAGAAAGCUGUGAAACAA